RNAcentral lists this long non-coding RNA (1122 nucleotides) under Vulpes vulpes (red fox). Its description in RNAcentral is "lncRNA (ENSVVUG00000009913.1)". The record is from RNAcentral. Lineage: Eukaryota; Metazoa; Chordata; Mammalia; Carnivora; Canidae.
GGUAGAUCCUUUUGCCCAUUUUUAAUUCAGUUAUUUGUCUUGUUAUAAUUGCAUUGUAAUAGUUACUCUGUUUUUCCAAGUUUACAGGCCCUGUAACUCCUGGCACAGUUGGUUUUAUUUGAUGAAGGAAAGAAUCCCCUUGCUCCCAGCAAGCCACCUUCUUCUGGCUAUACAUUUGCCAACACAAAGUCCCUCCAUUUAUAAACAAGGAUCCCCAUGGUAAAUUUAAGCUGGGGUUUCGGUCUAAACAAAAAUUUACACCUGGAGAUGAAUCAACCUACUUUACAUUGUCAGAAAGUGAAAAGCUAUGCAGCUCACUACAUUUCCCCCGUUUGCACUAGAUGCCAGAGAACUUGGAGUUAAUUACUUCACUGCCCCAAAGUGCUUUAGAUCUACUCAACUAAAGUGCAUUUCAUUUGCUUAAAAUGGGAUCUGAUUUGUUUUAGAUGUAAAUGCCUCUUUCCCUGUAUAUUUUAUUCUUUAAGGCAUCUCAGUUCCUUUCAGAAACAGACAUGACAAAUCUUUGAAAUGAAAAUACUGGGAUAAAUGAAAAAUGUACUUAAAGUUCUGUAUCUAUUAAAGAAAAAGUCACUUUUUGUUCCCUUUAUACCAUGGAAAGUGAGCAGUUUCCCUGAGGAUGAAGUCUAAAGCUACCUGUGGUGUGUUAAAUCAUCGAGGUCCAACUGUCUUCACAAACAAAAAAAGAAGCCAUAAAGUCUUUCAGAAUGUGAGAAGAGCGAAGUGUCCCGCCAAGAAUUACCAGGUCAAUAGAGCCAUCAAUUUUGGUGAAGAAAGGAAAAGACAAGCACAGUUAUUAACCAUCCAGUCUGCACUUGGCACUGGGCCUGGCAAAAACAUACAAUAUUUCACUCUUCCUAUUUCACAGAAAAAAAAAAAUCAAGGCCUUUAUAAGUUUGACAGUAUGCUGAAAGUUGCACAUCUCUGCCUAGAGGAGCAGGAAGCCAAAGCCAGGUGCUCCGCCUCCCAAGACCUCCUCACCUCUCUGUCCCAACAGCUUGCACUGAAACACAGCAGACUAACCUGGAGGUGUUCUUACCGGAGUGAAGCUAUUAGAAAUUAGGAACACCAAUUUUUAAAAUAUACAAGUCACAUGGGCACAAU